Molecule: RNase P RNA, 366 nt
Filed under: Antiquaquibacter soli
Lineage: Bacteria; Bacillati; Actinomycetota; Actinomycetes; Micrococcales; Microbacteriaceae
Description: RNase P RNA component class A
Rfam family: Bacterial RNase P class A
About the family: Ribonuclease P (RNase P) is a ubiquitous endoribonuclease, found in archaea, bacteria and eukarya as well as chloroplasts and mitochondria. Its best characterised activity is the generation of mature 5'-ends of tRNAs by cleaving the 5'-leader elements of precursor-tRNAs.
Source: RNAcentral
UGGGUCGGCAAGACGGUCGCGUCGGCUGGAGACAGCCGCCGAGGAACGUCCGGGCUCCACAGGGCAGGACGGUGGGUAACACCCACCCGGGGCAACCCGCGAGAAAGUGCAACAGAAAGCAGACCGCCAGCGCCCUCGGGCGCGGGUAAGGGUGAAACGGUGGUGUAAGAGACCACCAGCGGUCGCGGUGACGCGAUCGGCUAGGUAAACCUCGUCCGGAGCAAGGUCAGACAGGAAGCGGUGAGGCGGCCCGCCGAGCUUCCGGGUAGACCGCUAGAGACGUGCGGCAACGUACGUCCGAGAUAGAUGGCCGUCCAGCAUCCGCGUGAUGCGAGACAGAACCCGGCGUAGCAGCCGGCCCAUUCC